This 450-nucleotide ribosomal RNA is filed under the name uncultured archaeon. RNAcentral describes it as "bacterial SSU rRNA". It matches the Rfam family "Archaeal small subunit ribosomal RNA", at positions 24 to 446 of the family's 1478-position model. The record is from RNAcentral.
CCCGACUGCUAUCGGAUGNAGAUUUAGCCAUGCGAGUCGAACGUCCCCCUGUUGCGGGGGGCGUGGCGUACGGCUCAGUAACACGUAGUCAACCUGCCCUGGAGACGUGGACAACCCCGGGAAACUGGGAUUAAUCCAUGAUAGGUCAUCUCAUCUGGAAGGAGAGAUGGCUUAAAGGGGUGCGAGAGCUUCUUUCUUGUAUCCGCUCCAGGAUGGGACUGCGACCGAUCAGGCUGUUGGCGGGGUAAUGGCCCACCAAACCUGUAACCGGUACGGGCCUUGAGAGAGGGGGCCCGGAGAUGGACACUGAGAGAAGGGUCCAGGUCCUACGGGGCGCAGCAGGCGCGAAACCUUCGCAAUGCACGAAAGUGUGACGAGGUUAAUCCNGAGUGGUCUCCGCUGAGGGGAUCUUUUGCCGGCUGUAAAAUGUCUCGGUGAAUAACGGGGAGG